This 532-nucleotide long non-coding RNA is filed under the name Homo sapiens (human). Its description in RNAcentral is "non-protein coding lnc-HMHB1-2:3". Lineage: Eukaryota; Metazoa; Chordata; Mammalia; Primates; Hominidae. The record is from RNAcentral.
CAAUAGCCCACUGUGCCACAGAGGGCAUGCCUUGGAUGUAGAGAGUGAAGACUUUCCACAACUUGUGAAUGAGCCCUCUGUGAGUUUAGCCAAAACAUUCAUGUCAAAGAAAUGGAAAUCUCAAAUAAAACCCAUCGCAGGCCAAGCUCAGGAGGGCUGGCUAGCCAACAAAUCCUGAACAAGGGGGUUCAAGGGAAAAGGAAAACAUGUGUUUCAUAGGCAUCAGGGUGAUGGUUGGGGCAAGAAGGCAUCUGCAGCCUGGGUCACUGGUAACCUGUCGUAGUGACUGAGCUGACACCAAGCCUUGCUCUGAAGCAGGAAUCUUCCUAUUAGUAAAUACCAGGCAAUGUCACUAAAAAGGCUUACAGGCUGAGAAGAGGAACUGAACAAAUCUUGGAGCCAAGAUGCAUCUCCUUUUCAGGUGGUACUUCUCCAGGGAACGAUGUCCUUAUCUGUGAGACCUUGAACUGAAUGGGGGACGAAGGGAACUGAAUUGUUCAGCGGGACUGUAACUGACAGUGGAGCUCCUGGU